UUUGAUCCUGGCUCAGGAUGAACGCUAGCGGCAGGCCUAAUACAUGCAAGUCGAACGGUAGAUUACUUUCGGGUAGUUGAGAGUGGCGAACGGGUGCGUAACGCGUAUGCAACCUACCCUAUACAGGGGGAUAGCCCGGAGAAAUCUGGAUUAAUACCCCAUGGCAUCAUUGAGCCGCAUGGUUUAAUGAUUAAAGAUUCAUCGGUAUAGGAUGGGCAUGCGUCUGAUUAGCUAGUUGGCGGUGUAACGGACCACCAAGGCUACGAUCAGUAGGGGUUCUGAGAGGAAGGUCCCCCACACUGGCACUGAGAUACGGGCCAGACUCUACGGGAGGCAGCAGUAGGGAAUAUUGGGCAAUGGACGAGAGUCUGACCCAGCCAUGCCGCGUGCAGGAAGACGGCGUUCUGCGUUGUAAACUGCUUUUAUCUGGGAAGAAAAUGCUGCGGGGGAAAUUGCCGGUACCAGAUGAAUAAGCACCGGCUAACUCCGUGCCAGCAGCCGCGGUAAUACGGAGGGUGCAAGCGUUGUCCGGAUUUAUUGGGUUUAAAGGGUGCGUAGGCGGCUAUUUAAGUCAGUGGUGAAAGACUCCGGCUCAACCGGAGCAGUGCCAUUGAUACUGGAUAGCUUGAGUAUUGGAGGGGUACAUGGAAUUGAUGGUGUAGCGGUGAAAUGCAUAGAU
This 679-nucleotide ribosomal RNA is filed under the name Sphingobacteriia bacterium GWS-BW-H159. RNAcentral describes it as "bacterial SSU rRNA". It matches the Rfam family "Bacterial small subunit ribosomal RNA", at positions 12 to 695 of the family's 1533-position model. The record is from RNAcentral. Lineage: Bacteria; Pseudomonadati; Bacteroidota; Sphingobacteriia.